ACGGAAAGACCCCGUGAACCUUUACUAUAGCUUGACACUGAACAUUGAGCCUUGAUGUGUAGGAUAGGUGGGAGGCUUUGAAGUGUGGACGCCAGUCUGCAUGGAGCCGACCUUGAAAUACCACCCU
RNAcentral lists this ribosomal RNA (127 nucleotides) under Salmonella enterica subsp. enterica serovar Kentucky. RNAcentral's name for it is "partial 23S ribosomal RNA". It matches the Rfam family "Bacterial large subunit ribosomal RNA", at positions 2080 to 2206 of the family's 2925-position model. The record is from RNAcentral. Lineage: Bacteria; Pseudomonadati; Pseudomonadota; Gammaproteobacteria; Enterobacterales; Enterobacteriaceae.